GGCACGAUGCCGGAGUGGUCUAACGGGUGAGACUUGAAUCCUUCUUUCAAUGUUAUCUCAUGUCUUAGGACGCGCAGGUUCGAAUCCUGCUCGUGUCG
Non-coding RNA from Hypoxylon trugodes, 98 nucleotides. Lineage: Eukaryota; Fungi; Ascomycota; Sordariomycetes; Xylariales; Hypoxylaceae. The record is from the annotation of a RefSeq genome assembly.